UACAGAGGUCUCAAGCGUUGUUCGGAUUCAUUGGGCGUAAAGGGUGCGUAGGUGGCGAGGCAAGUCAGAUGUGAAAUCCCGGGGCUCAACCCCGGAACUGCAUUUGAAACUGCCUUGCUCGAGUACUGGAGAGGAGACUGGAAUUUACGGUGUAGCAGUGAAAUGCGUAGAUAUCGUAAGGAAGACCAGUGGUGAAGGCGGGUCUCUGGACAGUUCCUGACGCUGAGGCACGAAGGUCAGGGGAGCAAACGGG
Molecule: ribosomal RNA, 253 nt
Filed under: uncultured bacterium
Lineage: Bacteria
Description: partial 16S ribosomal RNA
Rfam family: Bacterial small subunit ribosomal RNA
Source: RNAcentral